UUUAAUUUUAGUUCUGAGUACGCUCACGUGACGCUCAUUGCUGCUAUCAGUGCCAAAAUGCCGAAAACCUAGUUUC
Molecule: long non-coding RNA, 76 nt
Organism: Maniola jurtina (meadow brown)
Lineage: Eukaryota; Metazoa; Arthropoda; Insecta; Lepidoptera; Nymphalidae
Exons: 3
Source: RefSeq, a predicted model, not a curated record